CCCAUCACCACCUUUACAGGAAACAGGUGUAAAUGCUCACAGGAAAAGGCUCAAGUGAAUCCUGUUGACAGGAGUAAAUGAGUGCUGGUGGUGGGGACGCUCAUACGUAUGAGAAGAGGGAGCAGCUAUCUAGCAGGAGUGCUCUUUUCUGCAGGAGACGCAACGCUUCAGCGCCUUUAGCAUUGCCACCAGUAGAGCCAAGAAAAUCUCCCACCUCCCCAUGCCGUAUGCUACUGAGAUUGCAGUUUGUAUCAUCGGCCAAAGGAUAACAAAUUUAAAUUUGUGCUAGGAGCCUUAUAAGGGCAUUAACACUUGCGUUCGGGUUGGACGUCACGACGGCAAGCAAAGGAGAGGUGCCAAUAAUAGAUCCCCGGUGUUUGUACAUCGCACAGUGACUAUUUGUGCCAUCCGUGGGAAACGGAGUGAUAUGCCAGACGGCGAAGUGUUUCAUUUAGCCCCAGUCACGGGGGCCGGUUCCGCGCACAGCCUCGCUCAGUCGCUCGUCCCCGCUCCUGCAGAGCUCAGCCAGCGUCUGCCACGAGGAAGAGGAGGAGGAAGGUGGCGAGGCCGGCGCUCACGGGUCGGCCCCGUGCCCUGCCCUGCUGUCAGGCAACUCUGCGGCCCCAAAAACUGAAAUUCAACAGCGGCGACCCCGAGCAGUGGCGAUGUAGCCUACAUUUCUGCCCUGGCCAUGUCAGGCUGUAGCACAGCUUCUUGCCCAUGGGGCUGGAGCGUGAAGGCAGGGUCCCUGCUGCUAGGGGCGCAGGAGAGCGUGGCUGUGUCUCUGCCAAGCGCUUUCUCGUGGCAUCGUUUUGUGUUUACUCAAUUAAUGACCUGCUUUCCUACUGCUCCCUCCCUCAGGCCUUAUUGGCCACAGGUGUGACCUGUGGAAAAUUUAUAGCUCAGGCAAGGAAGCCGUGCACUGCCAUGGUGACUAAGUCACAGGACUCGACUCAGUGCAGCUUGCUUUGUUUCUGUCCACAGUGAGCAGCAUGGGGAUCAUGCUGCAGUGAGGAUUCUCUUGAAAGUGGGGUCCUAUAAGCAAAAGUGCGCAAAUGCUCUGAGUGGGGAGCACAUUUGGCUAAUUGUUUUGUAUUUUAGCCCCAGACAAUACAAACUACUCAAAGCUCAGUCAGAGGAUGUUUGAGUGAAGUUGGAAUCAAAUCUGUCCAUCUCCUUGGUGUGAGAGCAUGGCUCUCAAUUAAAAAUUAAUGCAGCUAACGAAGGAAGACCAAAACCAUUUCCACUUUGUGCCCUACAUGAUGGGUGAUGAUUGAAAGGGGAAAAAAGAUUAAUCAAAUUACAGAAGUAUUUGCAUGCCUACAAAUGGAACCCUAGGUUACACCGACUUCCUUCCCAGCUGUUUUAUGAUUAAGUUGUGCAGGUAAGAACACACCGUGCUUCCUCAGCCAAGCAAUCUCUUUCCAAGCUGUGAGGGAUGCUGCCUGGUGGGGAGAGCUGUGCGAGGGGCAUGCGGGAGCCCUGCAUACAAGUGUGCUUGCCAGCACGCAGCCAAGUGCCUUGCGGUAUGCCAGGUACCAGCUGCUGCUUCCUAGCCAGGGUUUUGCACAAAUGAAAUGGCUGUGAGCUAUGCUCGGCAUUCAGGCUCUGCGCUGGCCAGACGGGAAGGAGGAUGGCUGUGCUCCUCUCCCUGGGGGGUGGCAUGGCUUCAGCUGCUGGAAUCUUCAGGACUGCUUUCUGUGCUGGUGAGGAUAGAGCGAGCUCUCACGGUUGACACGCAAUUCAUCAAGAAGCCUCGCAGGUCACCCCCAUACCAGGGCGUAGCGACCAGGCAGCUCAAUGGAGCUGUGAGUAGACUGCUUUUUCCCUGAAUCCUCCCUGCUCUUCCCUUCCUUGUUAUUCAAGCAUUUAUCCAGGGGAUGUGAAGGUCAAGUAUGUUGGCCUGCGGAUGAAGGUGGUGUUUGCUUUGUGUCAGCUGGGAACCUGGGUGAGCCGCAGGCUGUCGGAGGUGCCUCGCGGUCACUGAAUUCUCCACUCCAGGCUCAUCUGAAAUGCCGCCUUUUGAAUUCCAGAGGAAGUGUUCUGAGGCCAGGAGAAGAGUAAAUAACAUGUCAGCCUUGAAAGCCCCAGCUGCGCAUGCCCACCUGAAUGUCAAUACGCGUGCGUGUGUAUAUAUAGAUGUGUAUUUGUCACCACUGCAUUUUUUCCAUUGUAUAUGCAGCACUCUACCGGUGUCUGUCCGUGAUGCUGCAUAUUGCAAAUGUCUGGUUAUGCUGCAUGCUGGCUCUGGAGUUGAGAGGCGAAGAAAACAUCUGAAGUAUGUUACUGAAAUAGUGACCAAAGCUGAAAAAAAUGUCUGACUCCCAGGUUACUGAAAUGUUAGAAAUACUCUUGUGUCAGGUCUUGGAACGUGUUGUUUCCUGAAGCUGCUUAUUCACAGCCCUCCAGUGUGGAAACACUGGCAGGGGGGUCUCCAUCAGCAGAGCCGCUGGCUUCUUUGUGUGCUGUCAGAGCUUCCCUCGGGCGCACCAUGUCACCGGCGGUGCCCCGACAGCAUCAAGUGCUCCUUCCUUUCCUUGCAAUGCUCAGUCAUCUUUUCGUCUUCUGUCACCUUUCAGCUGAAACAUAUAGAGUGCAGGAACUAGCUGUGUACACAGUCAUCUUGUGCAUACAGAGGCAACGCCACAGGAGUUCUUUUUCUGAAGAAAAUGAUGAGCUUCUCUGGAAAAGGAAGACGAUAGACCUCACACUGUUGAAACUUUAAGCAUUUUUUGAUAGUGAUCUGUGUUCUUUAAGUGCCAAAAUAUUUUUAGUUACUCUUCUCUGAUCGCCGACUGCAGCCACAUCAGUGUUUUGGAAGACAGGGCUCAUCUGUCCUAUCAGUGAGUGAACAUGGCAUCCUUCUGGCGAUACCCGAAGAACUGAGGCUCUGUGGCGUUCGUGUGGUGGGUGGAAGUGACCUCCUGCAGAUGUGAAAGCAGAAGGGGAAGACAUUGCUAGAGAUCCUUCUUCCGAGUGCCCCUUGGAGAAGAGGGUGGUGCAGGCCUGGUGGGCCUGUGCCGCCUGGCAUCAUGUCCACUCCUCUGCAGACACAGUGUCCGGGUGCCUUGGUGGCAUGAGGUGGCCCUUGUCCUGUACAACGCUCAGCUCAAAAGACGAGGUCUCUCAACUAAACGUGUACAUUUCUCAGUACGCUUUGUGAUGACAAAAUGAGCUUGCAAACACAACCUAGCACUCAGCUUUGCUCUCCGCAGAGAACUGCAGGCCGUGGGGUCAGGAAGCAAGGCUCUGAGCUCCUUCUUUGUCCCCACUGGACUGUUUGGGCUGUUUUUACACCUUCUACAACAGCUGUAGACGUGGAUGCGUUGAUGAGCCUUUACCCAUGCUGGUGGGUCACCGUGGUGGCCACCUUAGUUGCCAUGUGGCCUGGUCCUCAAAGCAGGCCUGGCUGGCACAUCUUGGGCUCGGAAGGCCCGUGGGGAUGCCCCUCCUCAGUUCCUUCCUGCUGUUUCUAGGCAGAGCCAGGCCAGAGUUGCUGCCAGCACUAGUGCUUCACACCCAGCUUAAGCCUUGAACUGAUUGUGUGAACAAACAGCCUGGUGUGGCAGCCUUUCCACUUGGAGAAUUUAGAAACUGAGGCACGCAAGCAAGGAAACUCUUUCCCUGUGUGCAUGAUUGCAGAGCCUUUAAUUUCUGGUUGUGCUUUCUGGCUGCACGUUCUCAAGGAACGCUCCUUUUGGCAUGACAGCGGCUCCCAGACAGGGCCCAGCUGCUGUGCGGCCACUGGGACAGCGCUAGGCUGUUCCGCCCAGCAUCGCGUGGAUGCGAGCGGAGGGUGGGACGAAGGGAUGUAGCCAGGGCUGGGAAGUGGAGCAGUGAAGUGCCAUGGGCACCCCGGGAUGCUGGCAGGCCAGGGGAUGCUCCCUGGAGUACUGCUGCUUACAGCGUGCAGGCAGCCAGGGCUGCACUUCUUAAUGCCUGUGAUAAAGUGGGCAUCCAGCCCUGCGAGAGGCAAGAUUACCUUUGCUAGAGAUGAGCUUGUGGAUGUCACCCUCGGUCACUGGAAAGCUUUCAUGUCAGAUUGAUUUUUCGGUGCGUGAAGCAGGCUUGCUUUCUCGUGUGGCAGUUUGUUCAGAGGGCCGUGGGCUGCCUGAGCCUUUGCCGCUAAUGCUGUCACCCUCUAAUAAAGGCAUUGAUUUGUAGCGUGGAGCUGGGAUACCUGGGACAGCUGUCACUCUGCCCCAAAGUCAUAAAUCCUCAUGGCCUCCCUCAUCUGCCAGUCCUCCGUGAUUAAAGCGAGAGCUCCUCUGAGCAAUGAAUCACCGCUGCUCAUAGGCAUUCGCUUGCCGCCUUACCGCUGCAGCCCACUCUGCGUGUUGUCCAGGCACCGUUUGCCUGACAUAAACAAUAGAUAAGAUGUCAAACAUGCAGAAUUGCUCUGGAAGGAAACAGCAAUGAUCUCUGCAGCUCCAGGUUUCUUAUUUCCUUUUAAGCUUGGAAAUUAAAUGUGGGGAUUCUCCAAAACCAACACAAACACUUGGGUGGUUGGCACUUUCCUUUGUUUGUGCAUAUAGAACAUGUUUCAGUGCAGCAGGGAGAGAGAUGCCAUUAAUACCUAGUACUAAGCAUGCAAAUUACUGCUAGAUUUUGUGUAAGCAAUUUAGAACCCUUUGGUUUUUUCCGCAGUGCUCCCUCCUAUUUAUCAGUUUCUUCCCUGUACCUCUCUGCUCACCUGCGUCUUCAUUCAUCAUUCAUUUACACAGCCAUUCCGAGUAUCAGAAACCAAUUUCCUCCCUGAACCUGGUCCUGUACCAAAGCGAUGCUACCCCGCAUGAAAGCGAUGUUAUGAAGCUCCUGUGUCCCCGAUGUCUGUCUCCAAUCAGACAAGUCAACAGGCCCCAGCCCACCCAACAAGCAGCUGGUGAGCAGCUCCCGGUGCCGCGCGCGGCUCUGCCGCUGAAUCACUGCCUUGACUGAGAUCCAAGGGCCCCACUUCGCACUCCCUCCAGGGCGUGCGUGCGUCUGCAUGCAAGCACGCCACAGGCAGCCCGUGCUCCAGCUCUAUCUGCAGAUAGCGAAUGUAAAUCAGCAGCAGAGUUGCACAACCACUGCGUUAUAUCCGUGCAAAUCGGUCAGUCUGCUCACCUGCACGAGUGCUUGCUCCCGUGUCUCUGCCUGGCGCGUGCUGUGCCAGUGUUAAUGACCGCAGCCACCUGACCCCUCCACAAGCAGCAUACCCCGGCAUCCCUGGCACCAGCAAGGUCACACAGCAGUGACGGGAGCCGUGCCUGCCUUUCCUCCUGUAAGCACGGCCGAGUCUCUGUGAGCUAACCUAAGCGAGUGCCACACAAGCAGAUGAGAUAUAGCCUGAACUGCAUUUGCAUCAGCGGUAGUCUGAGAAAAACAAAGCAGGGAUGCUUAAUUCUAGAAGCUGUCCUGAAUCACACCUUCUCCGUAAAUAACAAAAGUAGCGGAAGGAAAACUACCCCAGCUUUGCUGCUGUCUCCAUAGCGUGGGAGCAAUGUCCAAGGCACCCAGCACUGGGACGGUGGGAAUCUGGUGUUCUCUGACUUAUAGCAUUCCCAGGGGUGCUGAGCUCAAGCCACACUUGGGUCUCUCCCUUGGUUUUACCAAGGAUAAAUGUGAGACUGCCCCAGCUUGAGAUCUUCCCGAGAAGUUCCCGAGUCACUGUUGUGCUGGGGAGAAGCCAUCGCACCCUGCCAGUCUGCACUCAGAGGGGGCACAUUGCUCACCAUGCACCUUAAGGUGCAACCAUGAGACACGUCCGCUGCAGCCUGCCUACUCCAUAGGAUUUCCUGGUAUUUUGAGGAGACGGAAAGCAAGCUGUAAUGUUCUAGUGCUUUAAAGGAGGACUGAGCAUUGGUGGGAGGCUUGUUUAGUAUCUGAGUGGGAUCAUGACUACGAUGUUCAUCUGCAUGUUACCAGCGUGGAAAAUACGCAAUUGGGAGCGGUUUGAAGACGAGUGGGCUUGGAAGAAAGGAAAACUAUUCCAGGGAGGGAGGAGGAAGGGACUGCUAACGUUUGCAGCACGAAGAUCAUGGAGAAGAUGGAGCUAUCAGAGCAGGAUAAUCUGCAGGAGGAGGAAAUAAGGCAUAGAUCAUCAGUACUUUAUGGGAGGCAACCCUCAAAGCACGCUGGGAGGACGGUAUUUCCCCUCUGGGCAGCAGCAGGCAGUGCCAAACCCGCCUGCUGCAGAGGCAGGAGGUUACCAGCCAACGCAGCACACACCGACCCCGCGGGACCUUUCUUUCAAGCACGCCAUGAGCGUGCUGGCAUGUAGAGAUGCUGGCAGCCACGUUUCACACCAGCGAUGAUGCAAUAUGGCUCUUGUUUCAGAAGCGUCUCCUUCAAGUUGACAGAUACUGUUAGCAUCUGAUUCUGCUCGGAUUGCCAGUGCCGGGCUUUGAGGCAGUUUCCCAAUGAUCUCUGAAGGAGCAGCAUGUUACUGGCUGUAAGAAGCCUCCCAGCCUGUGCCUAGCAGGACAGCCAGCUGCACGCCUCGAGUACGUGAAAAAGCCGACAAAUAACAGCUCGCUGCUUUUGCCUGCUGCUUUAAGCCAGGGAAUGAACGUUUGCAGCUCACUUGGGAUUUAGUUGCGUUUGGCGGGUUGGUUCAAGGCACCAGGACCUUCCAGCAACGCUCCUACGGUAUUCUUCACAUUCUUUUGUCUGAGAGAGGGGAAAAUGUAUGACUGAUCCUUGCUUAAUUAGGCCUCAUCUGCUAAACAGUUUUGUCACUAUUUACAUACGAGUAGUCCCGCUGAAGUCAAGUCCUACAGCUGUAUACUUCAUCUGGUAACAAUGUAAAUCCAAGAUAAACAUACUUGGAACAAGAGAUGUACAUUGCCUUAUAUGUAUGAACCACCUGAACGUAGCAAGCCCUGUGUUGCGCAGCUCUGUCAGAGGCCAACAGCUACGCUGCCUCAGGACCCUGUAAGCAGAACACCUGAUUGCUGCUCUUAAAUGUUGGACUGGACUUGAUGCGCUAAGGCUGACUUUUGCUGAAGCGUACGGCUUGCCACGUGAGUAACUUGGAAACAACUGCGCCCCUCUGUGAUAACGUGGAAAGAAAUUCUCCCCACCUACUCACGUCAAGUGGUGUCACAUGGCUAGGUCUCCCGUGGCCUGGGGAUCUGUUCUUCCAGAGAUGACAGAGCCAGGGAUGAGAGGUAGGAAAAGGAAAUGGCUGGACACCCAGCGGACGGCUGGGUUUAAUCUGCCUCGUCCCCUCACCGGUGCCUCUCCUGCGGGAAUCUCUCUGAAGGACCUGGCAGUGACCUUUCCCUGCCAUUUCUCUGCAGCUGCUCAUGUCCCAUCUCUGUCCCUGCUCCCUCAGAACUUGGUGGGCUGUUCCGUCACCAGUGAGCAUCCCUGUGGGAUUGUGACCGCUUUAUCCUACCUCCCCCUCUUCUGCCGGGGAGCUCCCACGCAUUUGGGCAUCCUUUAUUACUCUGCCCACGACCUUUUGUUCUUCCAUACCCUUUACUUCUGAUGACCUGAUUACUACGCUACCUCCCCCCUCCCCAUGAAUUACUUCAGACUGAUAUGAUGGAAGUGAUGAGGAGCAGAACGCCCCUUUAUCUUACUUUGGUCUGAUGCCCUUGGGACCAUCAGCUGUCGCCUAUCUCAGUGAGGUGGAGGGGUUGGGUUGAGUUAUCCUAAGCAGAGUUUCCCAGGAGCUCUCUAGCACUGGCAAACCCCAUCAAUUGUGCAUCCUGUUCCGGCUGUAGAUUUCCUGGAAAACUUUUGUGCAAGUUUUUAGUAAGUUCAAUGCUAUUACGUCAUCAGAAUAGCGUGACCUGGCCAAGUUUUCCUCUGCAUGUUCCUAGCAACUGAGACCUGUGUCAAAGUAUGAAACUGUCUGAAAGUUAAUGGGAUGAGAAGCAGGAGAAGUGCUGUGGAUUGACUGCUUCUUUACCAAUGAUGGAGCUGGGAUGGCUUUCUAGAUGCAAGUUCCUUGAGUUAUGAAAGAAGUACGUAGAAGUGAUUUUUAAAACUGAUACGGUAUUUUCAUAGAGUUGUCUCUACCCAAAACUGCCGAGAAGAACUCUGCAGAGCCAGAAAUUUUCAGGACUUGGAUACUUACUUGUGUGAGUGACCUGUGGGACUUUCUGUCCCACAUUGAUAUUACUGCAGUGAUUUUGCUCCGCUGAGGGACAGGUGGAAGCUGUUGGCUCGGAAGGCUGGGAGAGCACAGCUUGCCGCCAUCUCACUUGCUGAAAUGCUUGUGGGGUCAUUUUAAUGGAAUUUAAACAGUGGUACUAACAUGACUUCAUAACUGCUACUAACAUGAACUAUCAGUACUUGCAGCAGUUGAAAGUUCAGCUUCCCGGCGGACGAGCGGUGCCUCGGGAUGGGUCUCGGGUGACAAGUGACAGGGCAAUCUGCUGGGUGCAGCCUUACACCAGCUUCGCGAGCUGCUCGUCCCGCCGCGUUGUCACACAGCAGCGUGUGAUGUUGGUGAAGGGGGCCUGCAGUCCUCCUCCGGGCAGGUGCACUGGAGCCUACCUGGCUUCCCUUCGGCCACCUUGCCCCCAGGACAGCCGAGGCAGGGACAUACCAGCUGUACCAGUCUUAGGGCAGCAUCUGCUGGUUAUUGCAUGGAUCAACAGAAGUGGUUGUCAUGGAAGAGGCUGCUUGCUUUGGCUCCCGGGCGGAGGUACCCAGGGCUGGGGCUGGGGGGGAGCAGGGGCGUUUGGGGGAGAAGCACCCCCAUAAACGCACCUGUAGCGGUCGCUCAGGAGGGAAUGGUGAAGGGCGAGGAUCUCAGGCUCUGGCUCCUGUUGCGCUCCCGGGGGCGCUCCGUGAAGUUUGGCGACUCCGGGGCCGGAUGGCUGCGGUUCUCCCCCGAGGGCUGGGGCGGGCGCGGUGGCGGCAUCCGGGCUGCGACCCCUGGAGUGGAAACACGGAGAGAAAACGGUGGCAGUGGGGGGCAGGGAAGGAGCCCCUCACUCCGGGGGGCAUGAAGGGGGGUGGGAAGGGGGGGACGUCUGGGGCAGAGAGAGCCGGGGGAGCGGGACGGGAAGUUGCGGUCGGAUUCGGCGCGGCUCGCCCAGGCCGGGGUGCCGCGCUCCCCGCGGGUGCGCAACAGGUCCCGGAGCGCUCCCGCGGGAGGUCCGCAGGUGGACUUACCUGUGCCCCGCGGGCAGGGCCGGGCACGGCGCCCUGCGGGCCGGGAGGCGGAAGGAGCGCGGCCGGGGCUGCGCCGGGUCGGGGCUUUCCUCGGGAACUUUCCGUCCCGCUUCCCGGGGGCGGCCGCGGGCGCGUUUUAUAGCGAGCGAGCCGGUAACCCCUCUCAUUCAUUAGGAUCACGUAAGAACUCGGAGGGAAACGUGACUCUGAGCUAAGGCGUUUGCGUACAUCUAUAGGUUUUUAAAACUCCCUGCCAGUCGC
This is a long non-coding RNA of Numida meleagris (helmeted guineafowl), 9375 nucleotides long. RefSeq lists it as uncharacterized. Lineage: Eukaryota; Metazoa; Chordata; Aves; Galliformes; Numididae. The record is from RefSeq and is a predicted model, not a curated record. The transcript has 5 exons.